UGCCUACGGGACGCAGCAGUGGGGGAUAUUGCACAAUGGGGGGAACCCUGAUCCAGCGACGCCGCGUGAGUGAAGAAGUAUUUCGGUAUGUAAAGCUCUAUCCGCAGGGAAGAAAGAAAUGACGGUACCUGACUAAGAAGCCCCGGCUAACUACGUGCCAGCAGCCGCGGGAAUACGUAGGGGGCAAGCGUUAUCCGGAUUUACUGGGUGUAAAGGGAGCGUAGACGGCGAUGCAAGUCUGAAGUGAAAGGCGGGGGCCCAACCCCCGGACUGCUUUGGAAACUGGAUGGCUGGAGUGCA
RNAcentral lists this ribosomal RNA (300 nucleotides) under uncultured bacterium. RNAcentral's name for it is "bacterial SSU rRNA". It matches the Rfam family "Bacterial small subunit ribosomal RNA", at positions 335 to 650 of the family's 1533-position model. The record is from RNAcentral.